UACGUUUUAAUUUUUAACUCUAUUUGGUGGGACGUCUUUUAUCUGUUUUUUGGUGKUUUUAUGUAUAUUUUUUGUAAAAUAUUUUAAUUUAUUAUUUUUUUUUUGGAGAUGUCAAAAAUUUGUUUUUUGAACUGGAUUAGUACCCAGGUAAUCAAAAUUUAAUAAUUCGGGAGUAAAGUUUUGUUUAAACCGAAAAAAUAUUGACUGACUUUAGAUUUUUCUUUGGAACAUGUGUUUUACUGGAGAGCCCUCUUUUUUAGUGAAUUUUGUUGGCACAUGUAUGAUUGUUUAGUUUUUAUUUUGUUUUGUAAUGCUUUUUGUUUUGGCUUUUAAAACAGAUAUAUACUUGGCUUAUGAAUUUAUUUUUCAUGUGUUACUAUUAUAAAUUUUUUUUGGAUUGAUUUUUUAUUUUUUUUUGAAAUUGGAAAAGAAAGUAAUUUUUUUUUUAUGUUUUAAKGAAUUUAAAAAAAAGG
This 473-nucleotide ribosomal RNA is filed under the name Onchocerca ramachandrini. RNAcentral describes it as "partial 12S ribosomal RNA". Lineage: Eukaryota; Metazoa; Nematoda; Chromadorea; Rhabditida; Onchocercidae. The record is from RNAcentral.